AGAAAAAGAAUGGUUCUUAACCCUAGCAUACCUCUUAUCCCAGAAUCUCUAGCUCUGUCUCAAAAGUAAACUAUAAUUCCCAUCGAUCAGCCCCUAUAAAUCUUGACGCACUUUGUUGAUCUGACUUGUACCAAAUCUCGACCUCAUCUUGUUCGUUUUCUAGGGUUUAUUUGUGUGAUUUGGUAGAUGACACGAUCGAGCCGGGGUCUUAUUGGAAGCAGCCUCUCUAUUCCUACGGGGUAGAGGUUACAACCACCGUUUACUCGCACAGUCGAAGAUGUACUUCCUGAGGUCUAGAACCAGGAAUUUACUGCUCAUUGUGUGGCAUUUGCUUCAGUGCAGUUUAUGACGAUUCUUUAUCGGAUUUGGAAGCCUGCAGAAUAUAAAGAUUUGAUUAUAUCUCCGCAACAAGUGAUCAAUGAACACGCUCGCACUUACAAACUUUUAUUACCAUCACUUACUCAUCCGAAAGGGUUGUACAGCAUGGCGAGACAUCCAUACCUCCGCGUACGCGACACACCGGAUAAACUUGACGCGGAAACAUAUGGCAUUAAAAGUUUGAAGUUCUAUAAAGGGACAACGGAAUUUGAAAAACAGUUGGUAAAAAACUUUCGUGGUGGACCCGGGUUCCCCGUAUUUGCCAAUUGUCACAUGUUUGGUUUAACAGACUCAAAGGCAUGUAGAGCAACCCCUCAAAAUCCAUAUGAUAGAGUUUGUCAUCUGAAGCAACGUCAAGACCCUCAAAUCAUGCAGUAGUUAUCACUGGCAUACACAUCACAACAGAAAAUCGAGUAAGUGUGCAAAUCAAAAAUUCAUGGGGCGAAUGGGGAGUUGACAAGAAAGGACAUACUUGGGUAACGGCUGAUUUUAUAAGAAGGAUUUGCGUACUCAAGAUGUGAGAAGAAAAGCUUUUGUGCAGGCGACUUUAUUUUGUGUUAUGUUUACGUGUUUGAUUGAGGAUGAAUUUCAUGUUGUGUUCGUUUUCUUUUGCUAUAGAUUGUGUCUGUUCAUAUAUUCUGAUGCAAAUGAUUUUAGAAACCUGUUUGGUUGAA
This is a long non-coding RNA of Helianthus annuus (common sunflower), 1052 nucleotides long. RefSeq lists it as uncharacterized. Lineage: Eukaryota; Viridiplantae; Streptophyta; Magnoliopsida; Asterales; Asteraceae. The transcript is spliced from 2 exons. The record is from RefSeq and is a predicted model, not a curated record.